RNAcentral lists this long non-coding RNA (236 nucleotides) under Nicotiana benthamiana. Its description in RNAcentral is "long non-coding RNA (NBEN_LNC035236)". The record is from RNAcentral. Lineage: Eukaryota; Viridiplantae; Streptophyta; Magnoliopsida; Solanales; Solanaceae.
GACAAUUAUAUAUAUAACUCAACACUCUCACAAACAGAGCAAUGGUUUUCUGAUUAAUCGAAUCACGACAAUUACAUGGACUGAAACAGAGCAAGGAUACAACCGGAAAUCAACAAGCUUCAAACGAAUAUGCAGAAUUGAACUGGAAAUCAACAAAAACUCCCAACGGUCGAAGAACCCAUUUCAAAAUCCAAUCCAGUUUGGAAACCAAAACAAAAUAACAUUUUAGUUUUCAG